RNAcentral lists this ribosomal RNA (498 nucleotides) under uncultured bacterium. Its description in RNAcentral is "bacterial SSU rRNA". It matches the Rfam family "Bacterial small subunit ribosomal RNA", at positions 10 to 507 of the family's 1533-position model. The record is from RNAcentral.
AGUUUGAUCAUGGCUCAGGAUUAACGCUGGCGGUAUGCCUAACACAUGCAAGUCGAACGGAAUACUAAUUAAGAGAAUCUCACACUAGUGAGAGGUUCUCACGAGUAGUAUUUAGUGGCGGACGGGUGAGUAACACGUUGGAACCUGCCCCGAAGUGGGGAAUAACUGCUCGAAAGAGUAGCUAAUACCCCAUAGUAUCCGGUUUAUCCGGAUUAAAGAUUUAUCGCUUCGGGAGGGGCCUGCGUCUGAUUAGCUUGUUGGUGAGGUAAAAGCUCACCAAGGCGACGAUCAGUAGCUGGUUCGAGAGGAUGACCAGCCACACUGGGACUGAGAUACGGCCCAGACUCCUACGGGAGGCAGCAGUGAGGAAUCUUCCACAAUGGACGAAAGUCUGAUGGAGCAAUACCGCGUGCAGGAAGACGCUUUUCGGAGUGUAAACUGCUUUUGUCGUCGAAGAUUAUGACUGUAGACGAAGAAUAAGGACCGGCUAACUACGUG